RNAcentral lists this ribosomal RNA (543 nucleotides) under uncultured bacterium. RNAcentral's name for it is "bacterial SSU rRNA". It matches the Rfam family "Bacterial small subunit ribosomal RNA", at positions 773 to 1316 of the family's 1533-position model. The record is from RNAcentral.
AGUGAAUAGAUACCCAGGUAGUCCACGCCGUAAACGAUGGAUACUAGCUGUUGGAGGUAACUUCAGUGGCUAAAGCGAAAAAGUGAUAAGUAUCCCACCUGGGGAGUACGUUCGCAAGAAUGAAACUCAAAGGAAUUGACGGGGGCCCGCACAAGCGGUGGAGCAUGUGGUUUAAAUUCGAUGAUACGCGAGGAACCUUACCAAGGCUUAAAUGUAGAUUGACCGGUUUGGAAACAGACCCUUCGCAAGACAAUUUACAAGGUGCUGCAUGGUUGUCGUCAGCUCGUGCCGUGAGGUGUCAGGUUAAGUCCUAUAACGAGCGCAAUCCCUGUUGUUAGUUGCCAGCGAGUCGAGUCGGGAACUCUAACAAGACUGCCAGUGCAAACUGUGAGGAAGGUGGGGAUGACGUCAAAUCAUCACGGGCCCUUACGCCUUGGGCUACACACGUGCUACAAUGGCCGGUACAGAGAGCAGCCACCUCGUGAGGGGGUAGCGAAUCUAUAAAACCCGGGUCACAGUUCGGAUCGGAGUCUGCAACUCGAC